GAUGAACGCUGACAGAAUGCUUAACACAUGCCAGUCUUUGGCGAAGCUGUGCUUGCACAGCCUAGCCAAGGCGGACGGGUGAGUAACGCGUAAGGAACUUGCCCUGCAGUCAGGGAUAACAGACGGAAACGACUGAUAAGACCUGGUAAAGUCAGGCGGACUCAUGUCCAGCCUGAUGAAAAGAGAUGCUGCAGGAGAGCCUUGCGUCCUAUUAGCUUGUUGGUGGGGUAACGGCCCACCAAGGCGAUGAUAGGUAGCCGGCCUGAGAGGGUGGACGGCCACAAGGGGACUGAGAUACGGCCCUUACUCCUACGGGAGGCGGCAGUGGGGAAUAUUGGACAAUGGGGGCAACCCUGAUCCAGCAAUUCUGUGUGCACGAUGAAGGUUUUCGGAGUGUAAAGUGCUUUCAGCAGGGAAGAAAAAAAUGACGGUACCUGCAGAAGAAGCGACGGCUAAAUACGUG
This 463-nucleotide ribosomal RNA is filed under the name uncultured bacterium. RNAcentral's name for it is "partial 16S ribosomal RNA". It matches the Rfam family "Bacterial small subunit ribosomal RNA", at positions 28 to 507 of the family's 1533-position model. The record is from RNAcentral.